UACGUAGGUGGCAAGCGUUGUCCGGAAUUAUUGGGCGUACAGAGCUCGUAGGCGGGGGCGUGCGUCUGAGAGGAAAUCUCAAGGCUUAACCUUGGGGCUGUCUCAGAUACGGCGCUUCUUGAGGAUGUGAGAGGAAAGUGGAAUUUCCGGUGUAGCGGUGAAAUGCGUAGAUAUCGGAAGGAACACCAGUGGCGAAGGCGACUUUCUGGCACAUUCCUGACGCUGAGGAGCGAAAGCGUGGGUAGCAAACAGG
This 253-nucleotide unclassified non-coding RNA is filed under the name uncultured bacterium. RNAcentral's name for it is "contains 16S-23S intergenic spacer region". It matches the Rfam family "Bacterial small subunit ribosomal RNA", at positions 524 to 776 of the family's 1533-position model. The record is from RNAcentral.